Molecule: long non-coding RNA, 907 nt
Filed under: Homo sapiens (human)
Lineage: Eukaryota; Metazoa; Chordata; Mammalia; Primates; Hominidae
Description: HSALNT0377820
Source: RNAcentral
UAUUGGGUUUAAAAGGUUUAAUGAUGGGAAAAUUAAUACAAUAUAAUGGGAAGUGAAAUGAGCAGAAUGUAAAUUCCUUUUAGGGGUUAGCAGAAGAUGGAGUUGUAUUGAAUAAGAGUCAUUGACUUCUUAAUGGAAAGUGGAAGAUGGAGUUAGAGCACUGCGUUCACUGAGCAUCUGGAUGCUUGGACCCAGGGGAUUUCAAGGGAUGCCUUGAUUUGGGAUGGCAAGCUAGGACACACAGACAGCACAGAACAAGGAGCAGACAGGAUAUUCACUUCCUGGUUGCGUCAUCUAGUCGGCAUCAGCUGUUCCCUGGCAAGACCAAAGCCAAGGGCAGGCGGUGGAGGGGGUUUGCUGCUGUACUCCACUUGUGUGACUCCCGGGCUUUCCUUUGGGAUCUCAUGCGGCUGCUCUUCACCUUGGCGUUCACCAUGAUACCGGAGCCAGCGUCCCUUGAAAUGAUGUUCAGCUUCAUGAAUGGCUGACUCAGUGUCCCCUUGGAUCACUUUAAGUAAAAUUGUAUUUUCUUUGUUGUUAUCAAAACUCCAGUUUUGUUCAGGUAUCUGCCCCCCUGCAGACCCAGCCCCAGCUCAGGAGGUGGGAGGUGGUCAGGGUAAGUGCAUCAGAGCGUGGUCUUCCCUGGUAGCCGUUAUUGGUCUAGGGGUAAGCACGUGACCUAAAUGGAGGCGGCAGGGGAAGUCCGCGAUGCACGUGUGACCAUGCGGGGGACUAGCCUGAGGAUGAAACUAAGGCACACUGAUACCAGUGGGGAAGCCAGGAGGAAUGACAAACUUGAAGUCAUGGAAUUGGAUUGCAGCCCUGAUUUACCACCAACUACACAUGACCUUGAGAAAUCUCUUAACAUCUCUGAGCCUCUGGUGAGAAGAAAGCUGGCAGGCCAAGC